GAGCAGCUCUCUUCUCAACACCGUCAAAACACCAUCGAUCUCUCAUCAAAACACCAUGGGUCUCUCAGCAAAACACCAUAUGCCAUCAAAACACACUUCGAUUAAGGCUCGACUGUACUUAUCCAUCACUGUACUCAUUGAUUAGGGUUUCGAUCCAUCUGUGGGUUCUUCGUACUGGGGAGAAGAUAGAGGAAAAUUCGGGUUUAAAUCUAGACAUCGAAAUUCCAGAGUUGAAACUAGGGUCCAUUUGUGGGUUCUUCGAUUUGGGGGUUUCUCAACUAUUCGUGCUGGUUUGCCUUAUUUGCAGAGAAUCUGCAGUAGACCAUCUUCUCCAACCAUUCCAAGGCCUUCUCAUCACUACUUUCAACAAUUGGGAAUUUCGAGUUCAAGGAACUUACUUGUAGAGGAACCAGUUUCAUGUCCAUUGACUCCACUUUUGAUUACAGAAAUUGAGAAGAAAAUUGGGUUUUGUAGGGGAUGUGGGCAACGUCUACUUCAGGCCCAACCAUCCUAUGAAGCCACAUCGGCUAUGUACGACCCAUCACCUUGUGUUCUCAUAUGAUCUCCACAAGAAGACCCACAAGGCAUAUCUGGUGGAGUUGGAAGAAGCUGUAGACUCAGUUUGACUGGUGGAGUG
Molecule: long non-coding RNA, 637 nt
Organism: Rosa chinensis
Lineage: Eukaryota; Viridiplantae; Streptophyta; Magnoliopsida; Rosales; Rosaceae
Exons: 4
Source: RefSeq, a predicted model, not a curated record